RNAcentral lists this transfer RNA (73 nucleotides) under Felis catus (domestic cat). It matches the Rfam family "tRNA". From Rfam's summary of the family: Transfer RNA (tRNA) molecules are approximately 80 nucleotides in length. Their secondary structure includes four short double-helical elements and three loops (D, anti-codon, and T loops). Lineage: Eukaryota; Metazoa; Chordata; Mammalia; Carnivora; Felidae. The record is from Rfam by way of RNAcentral. RNAcentral also lists the same sequence under 1 other name.
ACCUGGCUGGCUCAGUCUGAAGAGCGUGAGACUCUUGAUCGUGGGGCUGUGAGUUCGAACCCCAUGUUGGGUG